This 1489-nucleotide ribosomal RNA is filed under the name uncultured bacterium. RNAcentral's name for it is "bacterial SSU rRNA". It matches the Rfam family "Bacterial small subunit ribosomal RNA". The record is from RNAcentral.
AGAGUUUGAUCCUGGCUAAGGAUGAACGCUAGCGGCAGGCCUAAUACAUGCAAGUCGGACGGGAUUCCGUUAUAGCUUGCUAUAACGGAUGAGAGUGGCGCACGGGUGCGUAACGCGUGAGCAACCUGCCCAUGUCAGGGGGAUAGCCCGUUGAAAGACGGAUUAACACCGCAUAACACAUAACCACCGCAUGGUGUUUAUGUCAAAUAUUCAUAGGACAUGGAUGGGCUCGCGUGGCAUUAGCUAGUUGGUAAGGUAACGGCUUACCAAGGCAAUGAUGCCUAGGGGCUCUGAGAGGAGUGACCCCCACACUGGUACUGAGACACGGACCAGACUCCUACGGGAGGCAGCAGUAGGGAAUAUUGGUCAAUGGGCGGGAGCCUGAACCAGCCAUGCCGCGUACGGGAAGAAGGCCCUACGGGUCGUAAACCGCUUUUACACGGGAACAACCGCAGGUACGUGUACCUGCCUGAGUGUACCGUGGGAAUAAGGAUCGGCUAACUCCGUGCCAGCAGCCGCGGUAAUACGGAGGAUCCGAGCGUUAUCCGGAAUUAUUGGGUUUAAAGGGUGCGUAGGCGGCCUGUUAAGUCAGAGGUGAAAUACCGCGGCUCAACCGUUGCAGUGCCUUUGAAACUGACGGGCUUGAAUGUGACCGAAGGAGGCGGAACGGGACAAGUAGCGGUGAAAUGCAUAGAUAUGUCCCAGAACCCCGAUUGCGAAGGCAGCUUCCUAGAACAUAAUUGACGCUGAUGCACGAAAGCGUGGGGAUCGAACAGGAUUAGAUACCCUGGUAGUCCACGCCCUAAACGAUGAUGACUCGAUGUUAGCGAUAUACCGUUAGCGUCCAAGCGAAAGCGUUAAGUCAUCCACCUGGGGAGUACGGUCGCAAGACUGAAACUCAAAGGAAUUGACGGGGGCCCGCACAAGCGGAGGAGCAUGUGGUUUAAUUCGAUGAUACGCGAGGAACCUUACCCGGGCUUGAAAGUUAGCGACGGAUGCAGAGACGCAUCUUCCCUUCGGGGCGCGAAACUAGGUGCUGCAUGGCUGUCGUCAGCUCGUGCCGUGAGGUGUUGGGUUAAGUCCCGCAACGAGCGCAACCCCUAUGUUCAGUUGCCAUCGGGUGAUGCCGGGGACUCUGAACAGACUGCCAGCGUAAGCUGCGAGGAAGGUGGGGACGACGUCAAGUCAUCAUGGCCCUUACGUCCGGGGCUACACACGUGCUACAAUGGGCGGUACAGCGGGCAGCUACCUUGCAAAAGGAUGCGAAUCUCUCAAAGCCGCCCACAGUUCGGAUCGGGGCCUGCAACUCGGCCCCGUGAAGCUGGAUUCGCUAGUAAUCGCGUAUCAGCAAUGACGCGGUGAAUACGUUCCCGGGCCUUGUACACACCGCCCGUCAAGCCAUGAAAGCCGGGGGUGCCUAAAGCAUGUAACCGCAAGGAGCGUGUCAGGGCAAUACUGGUAAUUGGGGCUAAGUCGUAACAAGGUAACC